CGAAAGCCUGACGGAGCAAGACCGCGUGUGGGAGGAAGGCUCUUGGGUCGUAAACCACUUUUCUCAGGGAAGAAGAAAGUGACGGUACCUGAGGAAGAAGCCUCGGCUAACUCCGUGCCAGCAGCCGCGGUAAUACGGAGGAGGCAAGCGUUAUCCGGAAUUAUUGGGCGUAAAGCGUCCGCAGGUGGCGAUUCAAGUCUGCUGUCAAAGCACGGGGCUUAACUCCGUUAAGGCAGUGGAAACUGAAUGGCUAGAGUGCCGUAGGGGUAGAGGGAAUUCCCGGUGUAGCGGUGAAAUGCGUAGAGAUCGGGAAGAACAUCGGUGGCGAAAGCGCUCUACUGGACCACACCUGACACUCAGAGGACGAAAGCUAGGGGAGCG
RNAcentral lists this ribosomal RNA (381 nucleotides) under uncultured cyanobacterium. RNAcentral describes it as "bacterial SSU rRNA". It matches the Rfam family "Bacterial small subunit ribosomal RNA", at positions 376 to 770 of the family's 1533-position model. The record is from RNAcentral. Lineage: Bacteria; Bacillati; Cyanobacteriota.